This 786-nucleotide long non-coding RNA is filed under the name Scleropages formosus (Asian bonytongue). RNAcentral's name for it is "lncRNA (ENSSFOG00015024789.1)". The record is from RNAcentral. Lineage: Eukaryota; Metazoa; Chordata; Actinopteri; Osteoglossiformes; Osteoglossidae.
AUGCAUUUCAUUGACAAAAACAAACAAAAACCUUGCGAAGUCAAGAGUAACUUUCCUGGUUCCUUUUCAUCUUGUGUUAACCAAAGAGGCACAGGUGCACGUCUUUGCGGGCGAAGGCCUUACGGCGAGCACCGCGUUGGAACGGGAGGCGUAGGCGAGAGCUUGUGCGUAAGGAGCGACCCGACCCAGCAGGGGGCAGCAGUGGGAUGCCGGGUGCAAGUGGGAGGAGCUGAUGAAUGGAUGCAAAUGUCUACAAAGGAGUGGGACCUCAUCAGAAAGAUGAGGCGGAAAGGAAGGAUGAAUUAGAAAAAAUUCACUCUGUGUUCAUUAGGAUGUGUUCCCCUCACUCUCUCUUGUUCUGUCUCGACACCCGCCCUCCUGUGGAAUCUAACAUCCUCCAAUCGGGUUUUGUGUUGUUAAGGGGGACACCUUUUCUGCACCAAUAAGAACUAUAUAUGUGGACGCUGGUAUCAUAAUAUUCUGACAUGGGUACAAGUGAAAUCACCGCAGCCCAAGAGGCUAGUUUAGAGAUGCCUGACAGAGAUGUGGGGGACCCCUUGACAUGGCCUGGCCUCCCACAAACACUGCAGAGGCAGAGAAGCCAUGCAAGGGCCUGGAAGGAAGCCAACACUGUGGCAGUGCAGUAGUUAAAUUAUUAACAGAGAGCGAGAGAGAGAGAGAGGUGGAAAGAGUAAGAGAGACACAAAGAGAAGGAGAUAAUAGGAGAGAUGGGAGCAGAGAUUGGGGAACAGAAAUAGAAAAUAAAAAAUAGAGAGUCUGUUGGCA